CCUACGGGUGGCAGCAGUGAGGAAUAUUGGUCAAUGGACGGAAGUCUGAACCAGCCAUGCCGCGUGCAGGAAGACGGCUCUAUGAGUUGUAAACUGCUGUUGUACAAGGGUAAACCGGAAGACGUGUAUGCAGCUGAAAGUACGGUACGAAUAAGGAUCGGCUAACUCCGUGCCAGCAGCCGCGGUAAUACGGAGGAUCCAAGCGUUAUCCGGAGUUAUUGGGUUGAAAGGGUGCGUAGGCGGAUUGAUAAGUUAGAGGGGAAAUGUCCGCGCUUAACUCGGGAACUGCCUCUAAUACUGUUGAUCUAGAGCGUAGAUGCGGUAGGCGGCCUGUCUGGUGUAGCGGU
RNAcentral lists this ribosomal RNA (347 nucleotides) under uncultured bacterium. Its description in RNAcentral is "partial 16S ribosomal RNA". It matches the Rfam family "Bacterial small subunit ribosomal RNA", at positions 338 to 682 of the family's 1533-position model. The record is from RNAcentral.